RNAcentral lists this ribosomal RNA (253 nucleotides) under uncultured prokaryote. Its description in RNAcentral is "partial 16S ribosomal RNA". It matches the Rfam family "Bacterial small subunit ribosomal RNA", at positions 525 to 777 of the family's 1533-position model. The record is from RNAcentral.
ACGAAGGAUGCAAGCGUUAUCCGGAUUCAUUGGGUUUAAAGGGAGCGUAGGUGGUCUUAUAAGUCAGUGGUGAAAUCUCUGGGCUUAACCCAGAAAUUGCCAUUGAUACUGUAGGACUUGAGUAUAGUUGCCGUUGGCGGAAUAUGACAUGUAGUGGUGAAAUACAUAGAGAUGUCAUAGAACACCGAUUGCGAAGGCAGCUAACGAAACUAUAACUGACACUGAGGCUCGAAAGUGUGGGGAUCAAACAGGA